UCUCAUUUACCAAAUCUUUCCCAACAAACAAAAUCCUUUUGACAAACCUUCUCCGAUUUAUUCUCUCCACUUAUUCUCUCCAUUAUCCCAUCACUGAAACUUCUCAUUCAAUUUGAAUUUAGAAGAAAAUUAAUUUCAUAAUGUUCAAAAUUAGGUUUUGGCAAAAUAUUUGUCUACUAAAAAACUUUCAAUUUCUAAAUAAAAAAAAUUGACGGCAAAAGAACCAUAAAGUUCUUAAUCGGGAAGAAGAUGAUGAUAGCGGUUUCGAAGAUUUGAAUAUCAUUGAUAAUCGAAAGGAUAUGGCUGUUGUUGAUAUGGUUAUUGCUGUCAAGAAAAAUGAAGGACCUCUUGUCGCCAUGAUUAAAAAAUCGGAAUCGGGGAUCAGAUCCGCGACGCAACAAUAAUUUUUGAUUUUUUUUUUCUGUCAAACUGAUGAAAAAAACGAUGAACGAAGGCGGUUUGAGUUGAACAAAGAAAACAGUCGUUGGAGUGGGACAAAGAUAGGCGAACGAUGAACGAAAGCGAACGAUGAAUGAAGGCGAGGUGGCUGGCAGCUGUUGUCUUUUUUAUUGUAAUUGGGAUA
Long non-coding RNA from Mercurialis annua (annual mercury), 583 nucleotides. RefSeq lists it as uncharacterized. The record is from RefSeq and is a predicted model, not a curated record. Lineage: Eukaryota; Viridiplantae; Streptophyta; Magnoliopsida; Malpighiales; Euphorbiaceae. The transcript has 3 exons.